AUAACACUGCAUUUAACAGUCAAUUCUGUAACCUAAUGGAGGAAAUGUUAUAUAGUUUCUGAGGUCAAGUCCUUACACUUCAGAGAUAAAUCAAUCUUAAAUGUGCAUUUUUCUUUUAUUUUAUUUCUACAAAUUAAUGAUAGUACAGUGAUUUUCAAGACUCCUAUGAAUUAAGAGCAGAUUGGUAAUUUUUAAUAGAGUUUACUGAGCCAACAGUACCAGAAUGAAACCUUAAAAAGGUCCCAAUCCUCAAAUGUUCACGGAAAAUCCCAUGACAAGAUAUUAUGCUAACUAUAAAAUACAAAACCUUCAUCCAGAAUAGCAAUCAUCACAAAAGAAAAUAGAACUUAAUGAUCAACAUUUUGGUUUUCAUUUACGUAUUUUCCAAUUCAAAGCCAUUA
RNAcentral lists this unclassified non-coding RNA (401 nucleotides) under Hevea brasiliensis (rubber tree). Lineage: Eukaryota; Viridiplantae; Streptophyta; Magnoliopsida; Malpighiales; Euphorbiaceae. The record is from RNAcentral.